AAGCUUCAGCAGCACAGACACUAAAAUUGGAAUGAUAUGAAGAUCAGCAUGACCCUUGUGCAAAAUGACAGGCAAAUUCAUGAAUCACUCCAUAUUUAU
Small nuclear RNA from Cricetulus griseus (Chinese hamster), 99 nucleotides. NCBI's taxonomy places the organism in Eukaryota, Metazoa, Chordata, Mammalia, Rodentia, Cricetidae. The record is from Ensembl.